GCACCAGAAAGGUUAAGAAUGAAAAUUGCUCUUAACAGCAUGAAUCACGGCUUGUGACUUCUGAUGGGGGCAGGGGGCAGGGCUGGUGUCUGCAUGGGACUGAGCAGCGCUGUCUCAGAACCAAGCUCUCCCCAAAUUCAUGCUCCAGAUGGUUCUGUCAGUGUGGAGGAUGGUGCCUUCAGAGCUGCUUGUCCUCGUUUAACCUUCUUCUUCGUUCCCUGCAGGUCUGUGCGAGAGACACAGAAGAGCAAAUGCUACACAUCUCUGGAAAGCUCAGUUCUAGCUCCAGGCUAAAGGAAGAAGUCUCAGCUUGCUGGGAGGAUUCAUUCUGUCCAAUUUGAUUCAAACAUUUGUUGAGCACUUUCUGGGUGCAACAAACAUAGGCACAAAGUGUUGGGGGAUUCAGGAAUGAGUAAGACCAUGACCUGGCCCCCUGGCCCUCAAAGAGCUUCAAGUAAUCAGAACUAUGAGCACGACUCUGCCAUAGACUUUGCUACGAAAUACAACAGAUCUGAGAACAGUGGCCACAGAGCAGUGAUAUGGGAAGGAAGACAACGUGGAGGUCAGAGAUGGCUCUGUUUCCUUCUAUACUCCGUCUCCAACUGUGAAACCACAUCCAUGAGACCUUCCCCAGAACAGGACCCAGCACGGGGUCUGACCGGAAUACAGGAAGUUGCCAUAGCUAUAACUACCCAUAGCUAAGUACCUUAUCUCAUUUAAUCCCAGCAACACUCUCACCCACUUGACAGAUGAGGAAAACUGAGGCUCAAAGAGGUUAAGUACAUUGUUCACUAUUACCCUGCUGGGAGACAGUGUCUGGAAACAGGUUUGCCUGGCAUAAUUGUUCCAGAGGGGAUUGAUAUGAUUUCCAAAUUUGGUGGGUGUGGGACAAGAGCAGGGGUGAGCUUCCAAAUUAACUAUUGGGAUUGUAAAAAGAGGCACCACAGAGAACUGGCAUUCCCCAGAACCUCCAAGGUCUGGGGUACCCAGGAAGGCUUCAAAGUAGAGGGAAGGAAAUGGCUCCAGUUCCUUCUAUACCUGCCCUCCAACUGUGAAACCACAUUCAUGAGACCC
Molecule: long non-coding RNA, 1074 nt
Filed under: Macaca mulatta (Rhesus monkey)
Lineage: Eukaryota; Metazoa; Chordata; Mammalia; Primates; Cercopithecidae
Description: lncRNA (ENSMMUG00000063669.1)
Source: RNAcentral